ACCAGGCAACAGUGAGAAAGCAGAAAAAAAGGCCGAGCGAGCGAGCGAACGGACGGACGGGUUCCUCGAGCAGACUGGCGCAGCGCGCGGAUCGAGGGACAUUGCGCAAUGUUACGUGGGUACUGUAGUCACGGACCGAGCAGCGGUGAAGAACAGGUGCACUGCAACUUCCUCCAGCGCUGCGGAGAGAGCGAGAGCGAGAGAGAGAGAGAGAGAGAGAGAGAGAGAGAGAGAGAGAGUCACAGGAAUGUUCCCAUGAAAAUAGCAGAUGUUCGAGAGUGGCUUAUGAUGAUGAAGUGCUGGACAGCAUCAUCAUUAUUUGAUCCAUACCUACUCAGUGCUACUCACAACAUCACUUAAGUGUCCAACCCAGACUGGCAGAAGGCCUGUAGGGGGAUGUUUUCCUGGGGUAGGUGGAACACAGAUGCGCGGCAGUUCUUGCAUUGCUGGGAGAGGAGAUGGCUGACUACCUUUUGGCUUGGAGGCACCAUUAACCAAUUUGCUAUCCAGAUGUCCAUCAGUGAGCAGUGGCCAGCUUUGUGCCAGUCUGAGCAGUCCAGACACAUACAUCUGGGCAAGACCAUUACAUUCACAGUCUCAGACUCAACCCCCACACACAAUCUGUUAUUUUUUCGUCUGAGAAUCCAAAAACAUGCCUGAGUAUGACUGAGGGAUUUUUUUUUAUAAGUGUUACCUAUAGUGUGAAGUGUUUUUUUCUUAUUUUUUUCUUUACUUUAUAAGUGUAGUAUACUUCAUAGCAGGGAGAACCUUUCUAGUAUCUUUUUUUGGUCAAAACAGAACAUUUUUCAUAAUCGUCAUAUUUUUUCAUAUGGCAAUUUUAGUUCCGUUCCUCGAUUCUGAUCAGCAGCGUUCCAGGAGCGCUCAAGGGGCGAUUACACUACACUUUUUGCUUCAUUCAUACAAAUGCAGAGUUGGCCACUUAAAAGGCUAUCUCAAUCGCAAAAUCCUUCCAGUGCCCUGGAAUGUUGAUCCCUUAAAAAAAAUCCUACAAUGCACUGCAAAAACUAUGAAGUAUUAAUAAUACAUCACAUUUUGCUUGUUGUCAUGUCACCAGAAAUGGAGUCUUCAGUGUCCCAAUGUGUAGUGAGCCAGGUUCUUACAAUUCAUCAUGAUAUUCAGGUUAAUGAUGUAGGGAGCCCACUGUUUUCAUGAGGGAAUCACUGAAUCAUUCACUCAACCAAUUUGUUCAGAAACAUUCGUUUUGAAACAAGUGACUGCAUUUAUUCCAUCAUUGAAUCAGUUAUUCUCCAAUUUGUUGAAAAACUUUGAUUCAUUCAAAAACUUAACUAGUUUUGUAUCGCUCAGAGACAUGCAGUGGUUUAUUUUGCUGUGACUUUGUUUGGAACUAUUUUCAUUGCCGGAGCGAAAAAUUGACAGUAUUUUUUUUGUAAAGCAAGUCACAUCAAAUUCUUGUUUAUUGAAUUAUUAUUGUAAAUAAGUAUUCUUGGUAACACUUUAUUUUAGGGUCUUUGAACUAGUUGCUUAUUAGCAUGCAUAUUACUAGAAUAUUGGCCGUUUAUUA
Molecule: long non-coding RNA, 1543 nt
Organism: Megalobrama amblycephala (Wuchang bream)
Lineage: Eukaryota; Metazoa; Chordata; Actinopteri; Cypriniformes; Xenocyprididae
Exons: 3
Source: RefSeq, a predicted model, not a curated record